CCUACGGGAGGCAGCAGUGAGGAAUAUUGGUCAAUGGGCGUACGCCUGAACCAGCCAAGUCGCGUGAGGGAAGACUGCCCUAUGGGUUGUAAACCUCUUUUGUCAGGGGGCAAAUGGAGCUACGUGUAGCGUUAUCGAGAGUACCUGAAAAAAAAGCAUCGGCUAACCCCGUGCCAGCAGCCGCGUGAAUACGGAGGAUGCGAGCGUGAUCCGUAUUUAUUGGGUUUAAAGGGUGCGUAGGCGGAAUGCCAAGUCAGCGGUAAAAUCGCGGGGCUCAACCCCGCUCCGCCGUUGAAACUGGCGUUCUUGAGUGGGCGAGAGGUAUGCGGAAUGCGUAGUGUAGCGGUGAAAUGCAUAGAUAUCACGCAGAACUCCGAGUGCGAAGGCAGCAUACCGGCGCCCAACGGACGCUGAGGCACGAAAGCGUGGGUAUCGAACAGGAUUAGAUACCCCUGUAGUC
This 460-nucleotide ribosomal RNA is filed under the name uncultured bacterium. RNAcentral describes it as "partial 16S ribosomal RNA". It matches the Rfam family "Bacterial small subunit ribosomal RNA", at positions 338 to 795 of the family's 1533-position model. The record is from RNAcentral.